AUGUAGCUUUUCAAGUCCCAAAGGCAGGAAACAUCGGUGUGAGAUGUGCCCUGGCUGCUACCCCAAGGCCACUGUCAGGGCAGAUGUUGCUUCCUGUGACCAUGGACCAGGGCAAGCAAUACCCAUAGAUGCACAGCUAGUAUUCAGAUAUCAAAGGCCUUUUCUGCUUGUAUGUGGCCCACUAGCUGUCUGUUGGAUGGUAGUAGAAAUUCCAUGGAAAAGUCGUGUUGAAUAGAUUCAUGGCAGGCAAUAAUCUGUUGCAGACCUUGGCUUUCCUGUAAGAGAUGGAACAGGUGAGGGGAUGAACCAGUUGGAGAUGAGGACUGGCAGGAACCCCAAUUUCAGUGUGUGCACCUCCUUGUCUGAAGCAGGAAUCAGUGUGUGGAAAGCAAAUUCACCAGAUCUUUCUGCUGAAGAUGGCUAUGUAAAUCAGGAAUAUCUCCAAUGAAGCCCAUUAAAAUUGCAUCCAUGGAAAACUGGUGUGAAAAAAGAUCCAAACUUAUUGACUUCCUCUGGAAUUUGUAUGAAUGAAUAAAGAAUAAAGAAACUGAAAAUUUUAUUUUUUGCCUUGGAUUUUCUUCCACAAACCUUAACUCCCUAGAAGCGUGGCUGAAAUAAUUUUCCACUGAAUAAUUAAUCAGGAUAUUCAACUGCUUAAUACUGAACUAUUAAAUGAAAAUGAGAAUAGGUAGAGAGGAAAUUUGGAGUAAAAUACUAGGAAUAUUUGCAACAAAAAUUAAUCUUUGCCAAACACUUGUGCCUGCAUGUAAGACCAUACUUUUAACUGGUAAAA
Zonotrichia albicollis (white-throated sparrow) is the source of this 793-nucleotide long non-coding RNA. RefSeq lists it as uncharacterized. The record is from RefSeq and is a predicted model, not a curated record. NCBI's taxonomy places the organism in Eukaryota, Metazoa, Chordata, Aves, Passeriformes, Passerellidae.